This 340-nucleotide ribosomal RNA is filed under the name uncultured fungus. RNAcentral's name for it is "bacterial SSU rRNA". It matches the Rfam family "Eukaryotic small subunit ribosomal RNA", at positions 293 to 636 of the family's 1831-position model. The record is from RNAcentral. Lineage: Eukaryota; Fungi.
GGUUCAUUCAAAUUCUGCCCUAUCAACUUUCGAUUGUAGUGUAUUGGCAAAACAUGGUAUAAGGGGUAACGGGAGAUUAGGUCUCGAUUCCGGAGAAGGAGCUGAGAACGGCUACUACAUCCAAGGAAGGCAGCAGGCGCGCAAAUUACCCAAGCCCGUCCGGGGAGGUAGUGACAAUAAAUACUGAUACAGGGCUCUUUCGGGUCUUGUAAUUGGAAUGGGUACAAUCUAAAUCCCUUAACGAGGAACAAUUGGAGGGCAAGUCUGGUGCCAGCAGCCGCGGUAAUUCCAGCUCCAAUAGCGUAUAUUAAAGUUGUUUCGGUUAAAAAGCUCGUAGUUG